AUGUGCAGCUGGGGAGUUAGCGGUGCCCUGUACCUGCAAUCCGCUCUAGCAGGAGUGAUAUCCGGCCCCGGGUCUUUCUUUGUAGGGCUGCCCUUUAUAAGUGGCGAUGACGUUUGGGUCUCGCGCAACAGGAAUUUAUGAAUCGUGUCAGGUCAGGAAUGGAGCAGCACUAAGUAAAACCUCCUGUGUGCCGUGAGGGUGCCUGGACUGAGUUAACUGUAGAGGUAACGCUUAUGAAGAGGAUUCAAAGCCGGAUGCACAU
Molecule: signal recognition particle RNA, 262 nt
Filed under: Lachnospiraceae bacterium
Lineage: Bacteria; Bacillati; Bacillota; Clostridia; Lachnospirales; Lachnospiraceae
Description: signal recognition particle sRNA large type
Rfam family: Bacterial large signal recognition particle RNA
About the family: The signal recognition particle (SRP) is a universally conserved ribonucleoprotein involved in the co-translational targeting of proteins to membranes. Archaeal SRP consists of a 7S RNA and homologues of the eukaryotic SRP19 and SRP54 proteins.
Source: RNAcentral